This 446-nucleotide ribosomal RNA is filed under the name uncultured bacterium. Its description in RNAcentral is "partial 16S ribosomal RNA". It matches the Rfam family "Bacterial small subunit ribosomal RNA", at positions 338 to 795 of the family's 1533-position model. The record is from RNAcentral.
CCUACGGGAGGCUGCAGUAGAGAAUCAUUCACAAUGGGGGAAACCCUGAUGGAGCGACGCCGCGUGGGGGAAUGAAGGUCUGCGGAUUGUAAACCCCUGUCAUGUGGGAGCAAAUUAAAAAGAUAGUACCACAAGAGGAAGAGACGGCUAACUCUGGACCAGCAGCCGCGGUAAUACAGAGGGCUCAAGCGUUGUUCGGAAUCACUGGGCGUAAAGGGUGCGUAGGCUGUUUCGUAAGUCGUGUGUGAAAGGCGCUGGCUCAACCCGCGGACGGCACAUGAUACUGCGAGACUAGAGUAAUGGAGGGGGAACCGGAAUUCUCGGUGUAGCAGUGAAAUGCGUAGAUAUCGAGAGGAACACUCGUGGCGAAGGCGGGUUCCUGGACAUUAACUGACGCUGAGGCACGAAGGCCAGGGGAGCGAAAGGGAUUAGAUACCCCAGUAGUC